Molecule: ribosomal RNA, 662 nt
Filed under: uncultured bacterium
Lineage: Bacteria
Description: bacterial SSU rRNA
Rfam family: Bacterial small subunit ribosomal RNA
Source: RNAcentral
CGUGCCCAGUCGUGGGGGAUAACUUCGAAAGAGUAGCUAAUACCGCAUACGAUCUGAGGAUGAAAGCGGGGGACCUUCGGGCCGCGCGAUUGGAGCGGCCGAUGGCAGAUUAGGUAGUUGGUGGGAUAAAAGCUUACCAACGACGAUCUGUAGCUGGUCUGAGAGGACGACCAGCCACACUGGGACUGAGACACGGCCGACUCCUACGGGAGGCAGCAGUGGGGAAUUUUGGACAAUGGGCGAAAGCCUGAUCCAGAUGCCGCGUGCAGGAUGAAGGCCUUCGGGUUGUAAACUGCUUUUGUACGGAACGAAAACUUCUCCUAAUACGAGAGGCCCAUGACGGUACCGUAAGAAUAAGCACCGGCUAACUACGCCAGCAGCCGCGGUAAUACGUAGGGUGCGAGCGUUAAUCGGAAUUACUGGGCGUAAAGUGCGCAGGCGGUUAUGUAAGACAGAUGUGAAAUCCCCGGGCUCAACCUGGGAACUGCUUGUGACUGCAUGGCUAGAGUACGGUAGAGGGGGAUGGAAUUCCGCGUGUAGCAGUGAUGCGUAGAUAUGCGGAGGAACACCGAUGGCGAAGGCAAUCCCCUGGACCUGUACUGACUCAUGCACGAAAGCGUGGGGAGCAAACAGGAUUAGAUACCCUGGUAGUCCACGCCCUA